CAGCAGCCACGGUAAUACGGAGGGUGCAAGCGUUAAUCGGAAUUACUGGGCGUAAAGCGUGCGUAGGCGGCUUUGUAAGUUAGAGGUGAAAGCCUGGAGCUUAACUCCAGAAUUGCCUUUAAGACUGCAUCGCUUGAAUCCAGGAGAGGUGAGUGGAAUUCCGAGUGUAGAGGUGAAAUUCGUAGAUAUUCGGAAGAACACCAGUGGCGAAGGCGGCUUACUGGCUCAUUCUAGACGCUGAGGUGCGAAAGCGUGGGGAGCAAACAGGAUUAGAGACCCCGGUAGUCCCUGUCUCUUAUAC
RNAcentral lists this ribosomal RNA (301 nucleotides) under uncultured bacterium. RNAcentral describes it as "partial 16S ribosomal RNA". It matches the Rfam family "Bacterial small subunit ribosomal RNA", at positions 509 to 807 of the family's 1533-position model. The record is from RNAcentral.